Molecule: ribosomal RNA, 301 nt
Filed under: uncultured bacterium
Lineage: Bacteria
Description: partial 16S ribosomal RNA
Rfam family: Archaeal small subunit ribosomal RNA
Source: RNAcentral
CAGCCGCCGCGGUAACACCAGCACCUCGAGUGGUCAGGAGGUUUAUUGGGCCUAAAGCAUCCGUAGCCGGUUGCAUAAGUUUUCGGUUAAAUCUAUGCGCUUAACGUAUAGGCCGCCGAAAAUACUGUGCAGCUAGGGAGUGGGAGAGGUACACGGUACUCGAUAGGAAGGGGUAAAAUCCUUUGAUCUAUUGAUGACCACCUGUGGCGAAGGCGGUGUACCAGAACACGUUCGACGGUGAGGGAUGAAAGCUGGGGGAGCAAACCGGAUUAGAUACCCGUGUAGUCCCUGUCUCUUAUAC